RNAcentral lists this ribosomal RNA (380 nucleotides) under uncultured eukaryote. RNAcentral describes it as "SSU rRNA". It matches the Rfam family "Eukaryotic small subunit ribosomal RNA", at positions 587 to 972 of the family's 1831-position model. The record is from RNAcentral.
AGCUCCAAUAGCGUAUAUUAAAGUUGUUGCGGUUAAAAGCUCGUAGUUGGAUUUCUGCUUACCAUCGACCGGUACGUGCGAUGCACAGUAUUUGGUUCGAUGUGGGCAUCCUCCUGGGGAACGCCACUGUCCUUAAUUGCGGCAGGGUGUAAUUCAGGACUUUUACUUUGAGGAAAUUAGAGUGUUCACGGCAAGCAAUUGCUUGAAUACAUUAGCAUGGAAUAAUAAUAUAGGACCUUGGUUCUAUUUUGUUGGUUUCUAGAACUAAGGUAAUGAUUAAUAGGGACAAUUGGGGGCAUUCGUAUUGACGCGUCAGAGGUGGAAUUCUUAGAUUGCGUCACGACGAACUACUGCGAAAGCAUUUGCCAAGGAUGUUUUCA